RNAcentral lists this ribosomal RNA (905 nucleotides) under uncultured bacterium. Its description in RNAcentral is "bacterial SSU rRNA". It matches the Rfam family "Bacterial small subunit ribosomal RNA", at positions 28 to 916 of the family's 1533-position model. The record is from RNAcentral.
GACGAACGCUGGCGGCGUGCUAAUACAUGCAAGUUGAACGAUGAUUUCUGGUACUUGUAUCAGAAUGAAGAGUAGCGAACGGGUGAGUAACGCGUGGGUAACCUACCUCUCAGCGGGGGACAACCAUUGGAAACGAUAGCUAAUGCCGCAUAACAAUAUUAAACACAUGUUUAACAUUUGAAAGUACCAAUUGGUACACUAGGAGAUGGACCCGCGUUGUAUUAGCUAGUUGGUAGUGUAAUGGACUACCAAGGCGAUGAUACAUAGCCGACCUGAGAGGGUGAUCGGCCACAUUGGGACUGAGACACGGCCCAAACUCCUACGGGAGGCAGCAGUAGGGAAUCUUCGGCAAUGGACGAAAGUCUGACCGAGCAACGCCGCGUGAGUGAAGAAGGUUUUCGGAUCGUAAAGCUCUGUUGUUAGAGAAGAACGUUGUGUAGAGUGGAAAAUUACACAAGUGACGGUAUCUAACCAGAAAGGGACGGCUAACUACGUGCCAGCAGCCGCGGUAAUACGUAGGUCCCGAGCGUUGUCCGGAUUUAUUGGGCGUAAAGCGAGCGCAGGUGGUUUAAUAAGUCUGAUGUAAAAGGCAGUGGCUCAACCAUUGUGUGCAUUGGAAACUGUUAGACUUGAGUGCAGUAGAGGAGAGUGGAAUUCCAUGUGUAGCGGUGAAAUGCGUAGAUAUAUGGAGGAACACCGGUGGCGAAAGCGGCUCUCUGGACUGUAACUGACACUGAGGCUCGAAAGCGUGGGUAGCAAACAGGAUUAGAUACCCUGGUAGUCCACGCCGUAAACGAUGAGUGCUAGUUGUUUGGGGCUAUCCAGCCCUAAGUGACGCAGCAAACGCAUUAAGCACUCCGCCUGGGGAGUACGACCGCAAGGUUGAAACUCAAAGGAAUUGACGG